This 494-nucleotide ribosomal RNA is filed under the name uncultured bacterium. Its description in RNAcentral is "partial 16S ribosomal RNA". It matches the Rfam family "Bacterial small subunit ribosomal RNA", at positions 29 to 507 of the family's 1533-position model. The record is from RNAcentral.
AUGAACGCUGGCGGCGUGCCUAAUACAUGCCAGUAGAACGCUGAAGGAGGAGCUUGCUCUUCUGGAUGAGUUGCGAACGGGUGAGUAACGCGUAGGUAACCUGCCUGGUAGCGGGGGAUAACUAUUGGAAACGAUAGCUAAUACCGCAUGACAACAGUUAUUGCAUGAUAACUGUUUAAAAGGGGCAACUGCUCCACUACCAGAUGGACCUGCGUUGUAUUAGCUAGUUGGUGAGGUAACGGCUCACCAAGGCGACGAUACAUAGUCGACCUGAGAGGGUGAUCGGCCCCACUGGGACUGAGACACGGCCCAGCAGCCUACGGGAGGCAGCAGUAGGGAAUCUUCGGCAAUGGACGGAAGGCUGACCGAGCAACGCCGCGUGAGUGAAGAAGGGUUUCGGAUCGUAAAGCUCUGUUGUAAGAGAAGAACGAGUGUGAGAGUGGAAAGUUCACACUGUGACGGUAGCUUAACAGAAAGGGACGGCUAACUACGUG